This 72-nucleotide transfer RNA is filed under the name Marmota marmota marmota (Alpine marmot). It matches the Rfam family "tRNA". Rfam says of the family: Transfer RNA (tRNA) molecules are approximately 80 nucleotides in length. Their secondary structure includes four short double-helical elements and three loops (D, anti-codon, and T loops). Lineage: Eukaryota; Metazoa; Chordata; Mammalia; Rodentia; Sciuridae. The record is from Rfam by way of RNAcentral. RNAcentral also lists the same sequence under 3 other names.
GGAGAUGUAGCUCAGACGUAGAACACUUGCCUAACAUGCAUGAAGCCCUGGGUUUAAUCACCAGCACCACCA